CAAAACAUAACCUGGUUAUAUUGGUGUGCUUUUUCUGGACAAAUAUAUGAACGAGCCCCUUUAACAAUCCACAUACGGACGAACAAACUUACCAAACAACCUACGGGAACACUUGAUUGGAUAAGAUAAGUGAGAAAGAUAUAUUACACUAGUACGCCUACUCGGGACAGCUACAGUACAAAUCACACCACAACGUAGUCCUCGUCACGACAAAAUGCCGCAGAACACAAGGAAACGGUCUAGCCAGGGAGGGGAAUUAUCGGGGGAGAAGAAGAGCAAACGUGGGGAGGAGGAUAAUGAGGCUGAGCCGGAGUUGUACACCACCGUCCCACCACAACCCAAAGUGAAGAAACCCGGCCAGCUCACAGAGAAACAACUCAAACACUAUUUCAACGAGGGCUAUCUACUUGUUCCUGAUUUCUUCAAACCGUCUGAGCUGGAUCCCGUGAGGGAAGGGAUAGCGGAAGCCGUGGAUCUUAUGGCCAACAAACUUUACAAUGCUGGCAAGAUCAAAGACAAAUGUAGCGACGCUGGUUUCUUCCAGCGCAUGAUACUCAUCGAGAAACAGUUCCCCGGCGCUGCUGUGUUGCUUCACAAGACCGGAUAUCUUCCUCAGAGCUUUCGUGAUUUGUGGUCCAACGAGCGUUUGCUGAAUGUCAUGGAGCAGUUGAUUGGUCCAGAGAUAGCCGGUCAUCCUGUCUGGAAUCUCAGAGUCAAGACACCUAAACAUGAACAGUCAACAGUUCCCUGGCACCAAGACAAUGCAUACUUGGAUCCGGAAGCUCUCCAUGUAUUGCAGCCCACAGCAUGGAUACCAAUGUUAGAUGUCAACAAAGAGAAUGGAUGUAUGCAGGUCAUACCUCGUGGGCAUCGGAAGGGCAUCACAGCCACCCAUACCUGCUGUGUGGGAGGGACUUGGUAUGUUCAAAUCAAGGAUUGUGAUGUAAUGAAAACGUCACUAGGUGUGGAUGUCAAAGAUGCGGUUACCAUGGACAUGCCCUACGGCGGAGUUCUGUUCAUGAAUAACGCGAUACCGCAUCAGAGCUUGGAGAACCACUCUGACAAAGUGCGCUGGAGCCUCGACCUCCGCUGGCAGAGGCCGGACAAACCAAACGGUUUCUAUGGCAUCAAGGAGAGCGUGCUCAUGCGCACACCAAAGGAUCCUAAUCACGUGAUCGACUUUGAUUCCUUCGAUAAGGUUGAUAGGCACGUCAAGGCCGCGGAUUCAGUUCUGGGAUUGGAGGAAGAAUUGGGCGUGAGCCAUGACGACAAUGUGAGUGAGGAAUUGGACACGACCAUCAUGGGCCCUUGGAUGAAACGAUGGGAGCUGGUCCAUCACAACAGACACACAGCUAAGUUUGAGAAGGAUGGGGACAAACAGAUCACUGCAAGCACAUGGCAUGCGUGGGAUAAAGCUUUGUGAGCUCGGCUGAGUCCAUUUAAGACUUCUAUAUCAGCAGUAUUUGUCUGAGACAGCAUUUGAAUAUGUUAUAUCUCCAUUCAGUGUUCGAAAACAAGACUUGUGAUCUCACAAUGGUAUUUUGGUUUGUUGACUUAUCAAUUCAUUAUUCAUUACCAAUUAAUUCAUUAUUCAUUACUAAUUAAAAGCGAAUCAAAAUGGCAUGCUUAAUUAUUGAUUAGGCAUAUAAGUUACCUAAUACCUAAAGCCGGUACGCUGUGCUAAAAGAAAAUCAAUGUAAUGGCUUUCUUCCUGCAAAACAACAUUUUCAAUGAAAAGAAAAAGUUGGAAACACUCACUUCACUCGGCACUCUAUUCAGUCCUCUAAAAAUAUUGCUUUGUUUAUAUGCCACAGUGCAAACUUUGAUAUACAUUAGUACAUGUACAGCGUUUGAAUUUGACACUUCUAUAUCAACAUUGUAACUUACUUAUUGUGUUACUUUCUGAUGUUCGAUUUUUAUUUCCAGUUGACGGCUAACGGACAGCUCAUAACUAUUCCAAAAAUAUAUUUCACUGGUGCCACAAAGCUUCAAAAUACUCAAUAAAACUAUUAAUAGUAAGUUAUGUUUUACAGGAAAACGGAAAUUAUCACAUUAAAGUUUGUGGAUUUAACAAAAACCAGUUGUAGAAGUUUAAAUAAAGACAUGCUCAGGGACUAAAAUUAUUACCAAUAAGUUAAAUAAAGUAUUGCAAAUGUUGACCCUGUUUAUACAAAAGGCAUGUGGUUUACCGGAGAGAUCAUGCAAUUAGAGAAAUAGAGAUAUGAAGGAGUUAUUCCGAACUAGUUCGUCUUGCUAGAAUUGGUGACUCAUGAAGAGAUCCUUACAUAAAAUCAAUAUUAGAUUAAUAAUUUAGUGUUUUUCUCCGGAGGUACUGUGAUGAAGUGGAGAAUUUAUUUCAAUGUAAUACUCAUCAGACAUCCCUCCGCCUGGGAAAAAAACUGGAAAAGUCACAGAAUUUUUUUUCAAUUUCAAGGCCUGCAAAAGUCAAGGAAAUGUGAAAAAAAGAAAAGAAAAAAAAAGACAAACGUCACAGAAAAGUCAUGGAAUUUUGUGAAUUAUAUGUACAUUUUUUACUUUUAUUUUUAAAUUUGUAAUCAUGUCCUUCAUGUCAUUCGUUAUAUAGAUUCUUGUUAAAUACGUUUUUUGUGAUAUGAUAUGCAAAUAAACCAUAACCAUAACAAU
Molecule: RNA transcript, 2643 nt
Organism: Patiria miniata (bat star)
Lineage: Eukaryota; Metazoa; Echinodermata; Asteroidea; Valvatida; Asterinidae
Exons: 10
Source: RefSeq, a predicted model, not a curated record